Molecule: unclassified non-coding RNA, 448 nt
Filed under: Lasiosphaeria sp. Iso145
Lineage: Eukaryota; Fungi; Ascomycota; Sordariomycetes; Sordariales; Lasiosphaeriaceae
Description: sequence contains ITS1, 5.8S rRNA gene, ITS2
Rfam family: 5.8S ribosomal RNA (bases 136-289)
Source: RNAcentral
UCACAUCGCGAACUUACCGUACCGUUGCUUCGGCGAGGGGCUCCGGGGAGGAGCCGCGGCCCUAACGGGCGCUCGCCGUAAGCCCAACAACUCUGAAUUCUUGGUAUCUCUGAGUAUAACAUACAAAUAAGUUAAAACUUUCAACAACGGAUCUCUUGGUUCUGGCAUCGAUGAAGAACGCAGCGAAAUGCGAUAAGUAAUGUGAAUUGCAGAAUUCAGUGAAUCAUCGAAUCUUUGAACGCACAUUGCGCCCGCCAGUAUUCUGGCGGGCAUGCCUGUUCGAGCGUCAUUUCAACCAUCAGGCCCUCGGGCCCGUGUUGGGGCGCUGCGCGCUAGCCGCGCAGGCCCUCAAAACCAGUGGCGGGCUCGCUGUCGCACCGAGCGUAGUAACAUAUCUCGCUUUGGACGCGCGGCGGGCGCUUGCCGUAAAACACCCCCCUUCUCAAGG